CGAGGCACAACCUCAAAUUCCCUAAUGUUGUUUAGUUCCACAUUAAUCCUCCAACUUUCACAAUAGUUCUUCAAGCUAGACUUCAAUCCAUAAUGUUUCCUUUUCUGCUUCAAAAUGUUCCAAUCUGCUGCAACUAGUCCAAUGCAGAGGCUUGUCAAAGCCAAUGUGAGCACAAGAUUUCUUCCCAUUUGCAGAGGAAAGAGAGAGAGAGAUCAAUUUCUUAUUUUUGGUAGAAUGGGA
Molecule: unclassified non-coding RNA, 240 nt
Filed under: Hevea brasiliensis (rubber tree)
Lineage: Eukaryota; Viridiplantae; Streptophyta; Magnoliopsida; Malpighiales; Euphorbiaceae
Source: RNAcentral